RNAcentral lists this ribosomal RNA (762 nucleotides) under uncultured archaeon. RNAcentral describes it as "bacterial SSU rRNA". It matches the Rfam family "Archaeal small subunit ribosomal RNA", at positions 102 to 859 of the family's 1478-position model. The record is from RNAcentral.
GGAUAACCUGCCCCUUGGGUCCCGGCAUAACCCCGGGAAACUGGGGAUAAUUCCNGGAUAACGCACAUAUGCUGGAAUGCUUUAUGCGUCAAAUGGAUUCGUCUGCCCAAGGAUGGGUCUGCGGCCUAUCAGGUAGUAGUGGGUGUAAUGUACCUACUAGCCUACGACGGGUACGGGUCGUGAGAGCGAGAGCCCGGAGAUGGAUUCUGAGACACGAAUCCAGGCCCUACGGGGUGCAGCAGGCGCGAAAACUUUACAAUGCUGGAAACAGCGAUAGGGGGACUUUGAGUGCCAGGAUACAAUCUUGGCUGUCGUCGUGCCUAAAAAGCACGGCAUAGCAAGGGCCGGGCAAGACCGGUGCCAGCCGCCGCGGUAACACCGGCGGCUCGAGUGGUAACCGCUAUUAUUGGGUCUAAAGGGUCUGUAGCCGGCUGGAUAAGUCUCUUGGGAAAUCCGACAGCUUAACUGUCGGGCUGUCAGGAGAUACUGUCCGGCUCGAGACCGGGAGAGGUGAGAGGUACUUCAUGGGUAGGGGUGAAAUCUUGUAAUCCUUGAAGGACCACCAGUGGCGAAGGCGUCUCACCAGAACGGAUCUGACGGCAAGGGACGAAAGCUAGGGGCACGAACCGGAUUAGAUACCCGGGUAGUCCUAGCCGUAAACGAUACUCGCUAGGUGUCGGCCACGGUGCGACCGUGGUCGGUGCCGUAGGGAAGCCGUGAAGCGAGCCACCUGGGAAGUACGGCCGCAAGGCUGAAACUUAA